ACACGUCUACAUUAGAUACCCCCGUAGUCCCAGCCGUAAACUAUGCGCGUUAGGUGUAUCGGUGACCAUGAGUUACCGAGGUGCCGAAGGGAAACCGUGAAACGUGCCGCCUGGGAAGUACGGUCGCAAGGCUGAAACUUAAAGGAAUUGGCGGGGAGCACCACAACGGGUGGAGCCUGCGGUUUAAUUGGACUCAACGCCGGGAAGCUCACCGGAUAAGACAGCGGAAUGAUUGCCGGGCUGAAGACUCUGCAUGACUAGCUG
Molecule: ribosomal RNA, 264 nt
Filed under: uncultured archaeon
Lineage: Archaea
Description: partial 16S ribosomal RNA
Rfam family: Archaeal small subunit ribosomal RNA
Source: RNAcentral